AAAUCAUGAUGCAGGCAUCUUCUCAAUAGUUCCUUGAAUCGCUCCCACACCUCGAAAAGCAAUUAUGUCUCAUAUUGUUAGAAGCAAUAUAUCUCUAUCAUAAGCUU
Molecule: small nucleolar RNA, 107 nt
Organism: Abrus precatorius (Indian licorice)
Lineage: Eukaryota; Viridiplantae; Streptophyta; Magnoliopsida; Fabales; Fabaceae
Source: RefSeq, a predicted model, not a curated record